GGGAGGCGAUGUCACAACCACAGCUCUGCUGCACUGUUUUUACAGCUAUUUUGAGUUUUAUUUUUGAAGACGCUACCAGGGAAAAUUCAUUGUUUAUAGUUUUUCUAUUACAGACAACGACUAAGCAUUUGGAACCAGCCUCUGGUGUCGGUGUAAGCAGUAUAACGAGCCUCCGUGAGCUCCCCAGGUUUAUCAGUAUGUUUUCCAUACGUCUAUCCACUUCCCUAUUUCAAUCUUUAGCAACUCACAUUGUAUUAUUUCAUCUGUAUUACCACUUAUGUAUCUAAGAGGCAAGAUUCUAAACAUCAGAACACCAUAUCAAAUUUAAAAAUGGACAAUUAUGUUUAUUUAGGGUACUUGAGAAUAUGAUCGUGUAUUUUCAAAUCAAUGUCUAAACAUCUGGCGCUUCUUUCUCAUAGGAGUACUUACUUCUUUUCCCUGGUGUUCUAUUAAUCUCAAGACUAGAGAUUUAUUUGCCAAGUUUUAGGCAGAGAGAUGGAAAAGAGUAUAGAUAGAAUAGAGAAAAACUAAAUACACCUAUGUUUUAUAUUACAAUUGAUUAUUAUGGUAGAAGACUGAAAAACAAAACUUCUUCACUUUUCAUUAAAACUAUUUUGGAGUUUCUGGGGUUCUGCCAGUUUCCCUUUAACACUGGCAAAAUACAUCAGUAAUUGUUUCCUUGCCCCAGGAACAUCUUUAUAUGUCAGUAUGAAUAAGGUAAAGUGAGAUAGGGCAUUGUGCAGGAGUAGGUAGAAAGAAUGCAAGAGCCAGAGGAUGAGGUCAGGUGCUGUGCCACACUGUCUUCUGGGCAGGAAUGGCUGUUCUACUCAUGGACUCACGGGAGCCGAGGACUGUACAAGAACAAGCCAGUCAGCAUUGCAAUGUGAGAGGGAAGGGCCCGUGGGGCUCUGUCUCUAGUUGACGAGCUCCUGACCACUGACACAGCUGCACUUAGGGAGCUAGAAGAAGAGGAAGAAGAGGAGAAGGAGGAGAAAGAAGAGGAAGAGGAAAAGAAGGAGGAAGAGGAGGAGAAGAGGAAGAAAAGCCCUUUGCUCUCCUGUCGUCCAUACCUUUUCUAUCUGUGAGAAGUCAUCUAUAAGUUUGUCAAGAUUUACAGUCCUGAUCUUCUUCGUGCAUUCUUCACUGUUUUGAUCCAUGCCUGAAAUAAUGAAGGAUAGACAAUACCAAGUAAGAAAGAUGCCAAACAUUGGUCAUAAUUCAAACACUAAAAUAAUUGUCCUCUGAGCUCCAUUUUACAUGGAGAACGUUUGAUAUACUCGGAAUUAGCUGCAGUUAAAUGCAUUCUUUUCUAUAUUCUUUUCUACCCUCACUCCUGCCAAAUUUUCUGUAAACAUAUCUAAAAUUUGUGUGGUUAUGUGUGUAUGUAUAUUAUAUUACAAUAUUAUAUAUUGUAUAAAAUUAUUUGUUUAUAUUUAAUAAAAUAAAUGACUGCAUUAUUAGAUUUAUUAUAAUCUAUUAUCUCAAUUACAUAUAAUACAUAUAUAAUUAAUAUAAUAUAUAAUUAUAUCAUAAUGAUUAUGUUGUCUUUGCCUUUCAAAAACAUUACGGAUUUAAAAUCUGAUAUAUUAUCCAAUUUGAGGUAUAACUUUUAAAGGUAAGCAUUCUCACUUAAUAUGCUAAACAUGCUUGUUUAAGAGUUAUCACACACAUAUUCUGUUAAUCUGCUUGUGUUUUAUAUUUUGUUUAGUAAAUAAAUGAUACAUAGAAAAUAAAGUACUCACAAAAUAUUACUUUUUUGUAUGCUUUUGGGAUUACAUAAAAGCAUACACAUAAAGCUUCCGGGUGGAUAUGAGUAAUGUUUAGUAACUGCUGAAAUAAAGAGCAAGUUUCAAGUUUAACUCUGGAACCAAUCAUAAAAAUGUUUCAGAAUCCCAGAGGUGGAUUCAUCCACAGGAUGGGGAAACCGAAUGUAACCAGCAUUUACAUGUGGGCGUGUGAAGGUGUCUUACUAGAACCAAGAUUAAUACAAUAUCAAAGUGUGAAAUACUUGGCAUUACAUUUUUCUCACAUAAAAAAAAAAAGGUGGUGAAAUACAGUUUUGAAACUCAGCUAUUCUAGAUUUGGGAAAAAAGACCACAAGGCCAUGUAUUGGAUGUUAACUAGUCCAAAAUAAAUGGUAUUCAAAAUACUUUUUUUGUGGUCAUAUUCUUGUCAAACUGGACACUGCCUGACAUUACUCUGUCAAGAAAUUCCACUUUCUUCUUUUUAUGUUACUUGACUGUAGCAGCUUUUAAUCGUUUUGAAAUCUGAAUUUUGGUUAUGUACUUCCAGUUUAGUGAAACACUUGCAAUUCUGUAUUGCAUAUCAGUAAAAUUAUAUUUCAAAAACCUCAGUAAAAACUUGUUCCUUCUGGUAGAAAAAUAAUCAUAAUAGACAACCCCCAUAACAAAACAGUUUCAUUCUUUGUUGAACAAAGUUA
This is a long non-coding RNA of Mus musculus (house mouse), 2440 nucleotides long. RefSeq annotates it as predicted gene, 41254. Lineage: Eukaryota; Metazoa; Chordata; Mammalia; Rodentia; Muridae. The transcript is spliced from 3 exons. The record is from RefSeq and is a predicted model, not a curated record.